Molecule: ribosomal RNA, 490 nt
Filed under: uncultured bacterium
Lineage: Bacteria
Description: partial 16S ribosomal RNA
Rfam family: Bacterial small subunit ribosomal RNA
Source: RNAcentral
AUUGAACGCUGGCGGCAGGCCUAACACAUGCAAGUCGAAUGGUAACAGGAAACAGCUUGCUGUUUCGCUGACGAGUGGCGGACGGGUGAGUAAUGUCUGGGAAACUGCCUGAUGGAGGGGGAUAACUACUGGAAACGGUAGCUAAUACCGCAUAACGUCGCAAGACCAAAGAGGGGGACCUUCGGGCCUCUUGCCAUCAGAUGUGCCCAGAUGGGAUUAGCUAGUAGGUGGGGUAACGGCUCACCUAGGCGACGAUCCCUAGCUGGUCUGAGAGGAUGACCAGCCACACUGGAACUGAGACACGGUCCAGACUCCUACGGGAGGCAGCAGUGGGGAAUAUUGCACAAUGGGCGCAAGCCUGAUGCAGCCAUGCCACGUGUAUGAAGAAGGCCUUCGGGUUGUAAAGUACUUUCAGCGGGGAGGAAGGGAGUAAAGUUAAUACCUUUGCUCAUUGACGUUACCCGCAGAAGAAGCACCGGCUAACUCCGUG